Molecule: transfer RNA, 88 nt
Filed under: Colletotrichum somersetense
Lineage: Eukaryota; Fungi; Ascomycota; Sordariomycetes; Glomerellales; Glomerellaceae
Description: tRNA-Glu
Rfam family: tRNA
About the family: Transfer RNA (tRNA) molecules are approximately 80 nucleotides in length. Their secondary structure includes four short double-helical elements and three loops (D, anti-codon, and T loops). Further hydrogen bonds mediate the characteristic L-shaped molecular structure. tRNAs have two regions of fundamental functional importance: the anti-codon, which is responsible for specific mRNA codon recognition, and the 3' end, to which the tRNAs corresponding amino acid is attached (by aminoacyl-tRNA synthetases). tRNAs cope with the degeneracy of the genetic code in two manners: having more than one tRNA (with a specific anti-codon) for a particular amino acid; and 'wobble' base-pairing, i.e. permitting non-standard base-pairing at the 3rd anti-codon position.
Source: RNAcentral
UCCGAUAUGGUGUAGUGGCCAACAUGAUGCCCUCUCAUUUCCGUUGAGAGGUUAGGCAUAGCCCCGAGUUCGAUUCUCGGUUUCGGAA